This 753-nucleotide ribosomal RNA is filed under the name uncultured bacterium. RNAcentral describes it as "bacterial SSU rRNA". It matches the Rfam family "Bacterial small subunit ribosomal RNA", at positions 28 to 776 of the family's 1533-position model. The record is from RNAcentral.
AUUGAACGCUGGCGGCAUGCCUUACACAUGCAAGUCGAACGGCAGCACGGAGCUUGCUCUGGUGGCGAGUGGCGAACGGGUGAGUAAUAUAUCGGAACGUACCCUAGAGUGGGGGAUAACGUAGCGAAAGUUACGCUAAUACCGCAUACGAUCUAAGGAUGAAAGUGGGGGAUCGCAAGACCUCAUGCUCGUGGAGCGGCCGAUAUCUGAUUAGCUAGUUGGUAGGGUAAAAGCCUACCAAGGCAUCGAUCAGUAGCUGGUCUGAGAGGACGACCAGCCACACUGGAACUGAGACACGGUCCAGACUCCUACGGGAGGCAGCAGUGGGGAAUUUUGGACAAUGGGCGAAAGCCUGAUCCAGCAAUGCCGCGUGAGUGAAGAAGGCCUUCGGGUUGUAAAGCUCUUUUGUCAGGGAAGAAACGGUGAGAGCUAAUAUCUCUUGCUAAUGACGGUACCUGAAGAAUAAGCACCGGCUAACUACGUGCCAGCAGCCGCGGUAAUACGUAGGGUGCAAGCGUUAAUCGGAAUUACUGGGCGUAAAGCGUGCGCAGGCGGUUUUGUAAGUCUGAUGUGAAAUCCCCGGGCUCAACCUGGGAAUUGCAUUGGAGACUGCAAGGCUAGAAUCUGGCAGAGGGGGGUAGAAUUCCACGUGUAGCAGUGAAAUGCGUAGAUAUGUGGAGGAACACCGAUGGCGAAGGCAGCCCCCUGGGUCAAGAUUGACGCUCAUGCACGAAAGCGUGGGGAGCAAACAGG